This 20-nucleotide microRNA is filed under the name Corchorus olitorius. Its description in RNAcentral is "gma-miR394a-". Lineage: Eukaryota; Viridiplantae; Streptophyta; Magnoliopsida; Malvales; Malvaceae. The record is from RNAcentral.
UGCUCUGUUUGCUACACUUU